RNAcentral lists this long non-coding RNA (220 nucleotides) under Musa acuminata (dwarf banana). Its description in RNAcentral is "long non-coding RNA (MACU_LNC005702)". The record is from RNAcentral. Lineage: Eukaryota; Viridiplantae; Streptophyta; Magnoliopsida; Zingiberales; Musaceae.
CCUUUACUAAUGAAUGGGUCGAGUCGAGCUCUUCUCUUCCUUCAUCUUAAUGGGGAAAGCAUUUUAGCCAGGGGAGUGCUGGAAUGAGGGGCUCGCGGGUCUGUCAGUCUUUCUCGGUAGGAGUUACUUCUCCAACUCAAGAUUCUUCUCCUGCUGAGGCAAAACAGAUAUAUCUAAGCACUAGCGCACCUUACUGCUGAUGCUCCACUUAUAUCACUAG